This 315-nucleotide long non-coding RNA is filed under the name Solanum tuberosum (potato). Its description in RNAcentral is "long non-coding RNA (STUB_LNC007370)". Lineage: Eukaryota; Viridiplantae; Streptophyta; Magnoliopsida; Solanales; Solanaceae. The record is from RNAcentral.
UCAAAUAUUAUUUAAUCUUGUGAUCUUAAAUAUAAUACAAAAAAUUAAAAUUAAAGAGUUGCUAAAAAAACUCAUACUUUAAACAGACUAAAAAUAAUAUAUCAAAAGAAAUUAAAAUGAAGAGAAUACUAAACAUAAGCGAUUCGUUUAUCUUUAAAAUAAACUGCAAAGUGAAAUGCAUCACAUAAAGUCAUAAUAAAUUAAGAUAAAACGAAAGGUAGCGGAAAGUUAAAUCUUAGGAUUAAUUUUGUUGAGAGGUUAAUGUAUUUCCGAUGAGAUUCUCUUAUAAGACGGAGUUUGGAAGUUGAAGAAGGC